GGCUCCUUGUUAAUAUGAAACAUAAGGAGUCUGACCUGCCCUGUGACGAGAGUUUAACGGCCGCAGUACCCUGACUGUGCAAAGGUAGCAUAAUCAUUUGCCUUAUAAUUGAAGGCUAGUAUGAAUGGUUUGACAAGAGUGUUUCUGUCUCUUAAGUAUUUUAUAAAAAUUAAAUUUUAGGUUAAAAUGCCUAAAUAGAAUUAAAGGACGAGAAGACCCUAUCGAGCUUUAAGGAUGGUAUUAAAUUAAAUUAUUAUAUAAAAUUUUGUUUUAGUUACAAGACUUUUGAUUGGGGCGAUCAAGGAACAAGCAAAGCUUCCUUAAAAAUAUUCAGAGUUAUAGCUAAUGAACCAAUAAGUUGGUUAAUUGAUUAUAGAAUAAGUUACCGUAGGGAUAACAGCAUAAUCUUUCUUGAGAGUUCUAAUCGAAAGAAGGGGUUGUGACCUCGAUGUUGGAUUGAGGUAACCAUUAGGUGUAGAUGUUUUGUUGGUUAGUCUGUUCGACUAUUAAAUCCUCACA
RNAcentral lists this ribosomal RNA (519 nucleotides) under Aperostoma palmeri. RNAcentral describes it as "partial 16S ribosomal RNA". It matches the Rfam family "Bacterial large subunit ribosomal RNA", at positions 1817 to 2600 of the family's 2925-position model. The record is from RNAcentral. Lineage: Eukaryota; Metazoa; Mollusca; Gastropoda; Architaenioglossa; Cyclophoridae.